GUGCCAGCCGCCGCGGUAAGACGAACCGUGCGAACGUUAUUCGGAAUCACUGGGCUUAAAGGGCGCGUAGGCGGGCAGUCAAGUCGGUGGUGAAAUCCUCCAGCCUAACUGGAGAAGAGCUGUCGAUACUGGCUGUCUCGAGGGGUGUAGGGGUCUGUGGAACAGUGGGUGGAGCGGUGAAAUGCGUAGAGAUCCACUGGAACGCCGGUGGCGAAAGCGACGGACUGGACACCUUCUGACGCUGAGGCGCGAAAGCCAGGGGAGCAAACGGGAUUAGAAACCCCGGUAGUCC
This 292-nucleotide ribosomal RNA is filed under the name uncultured bacterium. Its description in RNAcentral is "partial 16S ribosomal RNA". It matches the Rfam family "Bacterial small subunit ribosomal RNA", at positions 505 to 796 of the family's 1533-position model. The record is from RNAcentral.